This 489-nucleotide ribosomal RNA is filed under the name uncultured bacterium. RNAcentral describes it as "partial 16S ribosomal RNA". It matches the Rfam family "Bacterial small subunit ribosomal RNA", at positions 30 to 507 of the family's 1533-position model. The record is from RNAcentral.
AUUGAACGCUGGCGGCAGGCCUAACACAUGCAAGUCGAACGGUAACAGGAAGAAGCUUGCUUCUUUGCUGACGAGUGGCGGACGGGUGAGUAUGUCUGGGAAACUGCCUGAUGGAGGGGGAUAACUACUGGAAACGGUAGCUAAUACCGCAUAACGUCGCAAGACCAAAGAGGGGGACCUUCGGGCCUCUUGCCAUCGGAUGUGCCCAGAUGGGAUUAGCUAGUAGGUGGGGUAACGGCUCACCUAGGCGACGAUCCCUAGCUGGUCUGAGAGGAUGACCAGCCACACUGGAACUGAGACACGGUCCAGACUCCUACGGGAGGCAGCAGUGGGGAAUAUUGCACAAUGGGCGCAAGCCUGAUGCAGCCAUGCCGCGUGUAUGAAGAAGGCCUUCGGGUUGUAAAGUACUUUCAGCGGGGAGGAAGGGAGUAAAGUUAAUACCUUGGCUCAUUGACGUUACCCGCAGAAGAAGCACCGGCUAACUCCGUG